Molecule: ribosomal RNA, 506 nt
Filed under: uncultured bacterium
Lineage: Bacteria
Description: bacterial SSU rRNA
Rfam family: Bacterial small subunit ribosomal RNA
Source: RNAcentral
CGAUCUGGCUCAGGAUGAACGCUGGCGGCGUGCCUAACACAUGCAAGUCGAACGGGCUUGUGCUGGAAUGAGACUUCGGCCAAAGGAAGGCGCAAGCUAGUGGCGGACGGGUGAGUAACGCGUGGAGAACCUGCCUCAUGCUGGGGGAUAACAGUGAGAAAUCACUGCUAAUACCGCAUAAGCGCACGGGGACGCAUGUCCUUGUGUGAAAAAACUCCGGUGGCAUGAGAUGGCUCCGCGUUGGAUUAGCCAGUUGGCGGGGUAACGGCCCACCAAAGCACCGAUCCAUAGCCGGCCUGAGAGGGUGAACGGCCACAUUGGGACUGAGACACGGCCCAGACUCCUACGGGAGGCAGCAGUGGGGAAUAUUGCACAAUGGGGGGAACCCUGAUGCCAGCGACGCCGCGUGAAGGAUGAAGUAUUUCGGUAUGUAAACUUCUAUCAGCAGGGAAGAUGAUGACGGUACCUGACUAAGAAGCCCCGGCUAACUACGUGCCAGCCGCGGC